This 468-nucleotide ribosomal RNA is filed under the name uncultured bacterium. Its description in RNAcentral is "partial 16S ribosomal RNA". It matches the Rfam family "Bacterial small subunit ribosomal RNA", at positions 28 to 507 of the family's 1533-position model. The record is from RNAcentral.
GACGAACGCUGGCGGCGCGCUUAACACAUGCAAGUCGAACGGAAAGGCCCUGCUUUUGUGGGGUGCUCGAGUGGCGAACGGGUGCGUAACACGUGAGUAACCUGCCCUUGACUUUGGGAUAACUUCAGGAAACUGGGGCUAAUACCGGAUAGGAGCUCCUGCUGCAUGGUGGGGGUUGGAAAGUUUCGGCGGUUGGGGAUGGACUCGCGGCUUAUCAGCUUGUUGGUGGGGUAGUGGCUUACCAAGGCUUUGACGGGUAGCCGGCCUGAGAGGGUGACCGGCCACAUUAGGACUGAGAUACGGCGCAGAGUCGUACGGGAGGCAGCAGUGGGGAAUAUUGCACAAUGGGCGGAAGCCGGAUGCAGCAGCGCCGCGUGCGGGAUGACGGCCUUCGGGGUGUAAACCGCUUUCGCCUGUGACGAAGCGUGAGUGACGGUAAUGGGUAAAGAAGCACCGGCUAACUACGUG